RNAcentral lists this ribosomal RNA (638 nucleotides) under uncultured bacterium. RNAcentral describes it as "partial 16S ribosomal RNA". It matches the Rfam family "Bacterial small subunit ribosomal RNA", at positions 1 to 617 of the family's 1533-position model. The record is from RNAcentral.
GGCCGCGAAUUCGCCCUUAGGGUUUGAUCAUGGCUCAGAGUGAACGCUGGCGGUAGGCCUAACACAUGCAAGUCGAACGGCAGCACAGGAGAGCUUGCUCUCUGGGUGGCGAGUGGCGGACGGGUGAGGAAUACAUCGGAAUCUACUCUGUCGUGGGGGAUAACGUAGGGAAACUUACGCUAAUACCGCAUACGACCUACGGGUGAAAGCAGGGGACCUUCGGGCCUUGCGCGAUUGAAUGAGCCGAUGUCGGAUUAGCUAGUUGGCGGGGUAAAGGCCCACCAAGGCGACGAUCCGUAGCUGGUCUGAGAGGAUGAUCAGCCACACUGGAACUGAGACACGGUCCAGACUCCUACGGGAGGCAGCAGUGGGGAAUAUUGGACAAUGGGCGCAAGCCUGAUCCAGCCAUACCGCGUGGGUGAAGAAGGCCUUCGGGUUGUAAAGCCCUUUUGUUGGGAAAGAAAUCCAGCUGGCUAAUACCCGGUUGGGAUGACGGUACCCAAAGAAUAAGCACCGGCUAACUUCGUGCCAGCAGCCGCGGUAAUACGAAGGGUGCAAGCGUUACUCGGAAUUACUGGGCGUAAAGCGUGCGUAGGUGGUCGUUUAAGUCCGUUGUGAAAGCCCUGGGCUCAACCUGG